RNAcentral lists this ribosomal RNA (528 nucleotides) under Danielia reshetovae. Its description in RNAcentral is "LSU rRNA". It matches the Rfam family "Eukaryotic large subunit ribosomal RNA", at positions 72 to 669 of the family's 3401-position model. The record is from RNAcentral. Lineage: Eukaryota; Fungi; Ascomycota; Pichiomycetes; Serinales; Metschnikowiaceae.
GUAUUGCCUCAGUAACGGCGAGUGAGCGGCAUGAGCUCAAAUUUGAAAUCCCUCGGGAGUUGUAAUUUGAAGGUUGGAGGUUCCAGCAACACACUGCCUAAGUCCCUUGGAACAGGGCGCCUUGGAGGGUGAGAGCCCCGUGAGGCAGCCGUGGCGCGUCGUAACCUCCUUCCAACGAGUCGAGUUGUUUGGGAAUGCAGCUCAAAGUGGGUGGUAAAUUCCAUCUAAAGCUAAAUACCGGCGAGAGACCGAUAGCGAACAAGUACAGUGAUGGAAAGAUGAAAAGCACUUUGAAAAGAGAGUGAAACAGUACGUGAAAUUGUUGAAAGGGAAGGGCUUGCAAGCAGACUCGGCCUCGGCCGGGCCAGCAUCGGUUUGGCGGGACGGACAAAGCGCGAGGAAUGUGGCACCCCUCGGGGUGUGUUAUAGCCUCGCGUCCUACGUCCUCGCCAGACCGAGGUCUGCGAUUCUUAUCUAGGAUGCUGGCGUAAUGGUUGCAAGCCGCCCGUCUUAAAAACCACGGACACA